This is a long non-coding RNA of Cyprinus carpio (common carp), 1066 nucleotides long. NCBI's taxonomy places the organism in Eukaryota, Metazoa, Chordata, Actinopteri, Cypriniformes, Cyprinidae. The record is from Ensembl.
UCAGAAAAGAGUUUGAAGAAAAAGAGAAGAAAGAACAGAAAAAACGAGAGACUGAAAAACAGAAACGAUCAGAAAAAGAAAAACAGCAAAGAGACGAAUAUAAUCAAAAAACAGAAGAAAUGAAGAGAGAGAUUGAAAAUCAGAGAUCACAGUAUGAAAAACAGCAAAAAGAAAGAGAAGAAGAAGACAGAAAGAGAGAAGAAAAAUACAGACGAGAUCAAGAAAAAAUGAAAAAAAAACAAGAACGUGUUAUAACACAGUUAAAGAUGAAAGAAGAAAAAGAAAUAAAAAACAGAGAUUUGGAGGAGAAAAGGAGGAAAGAACAAGAAGAGAAAGACAGAAAGGAAUGGGAAAGAAAAAUAAAAGAGGCUGAAAAUGACAGAAAAGAGACUCAAGAGGAAAUUAAACGACAGCAGAGAGAAUGGGAGAAUGAAAAGAAACGACAGAUGAGAGAACGAGAAGAAGAAGAAAUAACGAGAAAAGAGAAACAUGAGGAACAACUGAGAGAAAAACAAGAAGAAAUGGAGAAAAUGAGAGCGAGAUUUGAAAGAGAGAGAGAAGAACGACAGAAGAUAGAGAAAGAGAGACAGAAGGAGAAAAGAGAAAGAGAAGAAAAAGAGAGAGAAUAUAAACAAAAGAAAACUGAAAUGGAAAGACAUCAUGAGCAGCUGGAACGAAGGAGAAAAGAGGAGUGGGAGAGAAGAAAACGAGAAGAUGAUGAGAGACAAGAAGAAGAGAGAAAGAGAUGGGAGAACAUGAUUGAAGAUCUGAAACAAGAACAAGAAGAAGAGAUCAAGAGAAGAGAAAGAGAGAGAAAAGAAAGAGAAGAGCAGGAGAGAGAUGAAAUGAAACAGAAACAUGAAGAGGAAAUAAAACAGAUGAAGAAGAAACAUGAGGAUGAAGCCAGAAAACAAGCAGAAGAACUGAAUGAUUUCAGAGUGAGAAUUAAUCAGCAUGUUCAGGAGCUCAAAGAGAAAAGUGAAGAAGUGAAAAAUCUGAAAAAGGAGAUUGAAGAUUUAAAAAAGAACCGGUGUAGACUUAUGUGAAAUUCUCAUAUUCAUUUGGG